RNAcentral lists this ribosomal RNA (1074 nucleotides) under Triticum aestivum (bread wheat). RNAcentral's name for it is "partial small subunit ribosomal RNA". Lineage: Eukaryota; Viridiplantae; Streptophyta; Magnoliopsida; Poales; Poaceae. The record is from RNAcentral.
AUGGGGUCAGAGGAACCUUCUAAUCAUAGACAGGCCAGCAAAGCGCACAAGUGGCGGUGUGCUAUGGAAGAGGAGCUUGAGUCGAUCAGGAGUAACAAGACUUGGCAGCUCACCACACUUCCACCUGGACAAAAACCUAUAGGCCUCAAGUGGGUUUAUAAACUGAAGAAGGAUUCAGCUGGAAGGGUUGUCAAGUACAAAGCACGCCUAGUAGCGAAGGGAUAUGUGCAACGUCCAGGGAUUGAUUUUGAAGAAGUUUUUGCGCCAAUUGCAAGACUCGAGACAGUGCGUUUGCUGAUAGCACUGGCAGCGCAAGAGAAGUGGGAGCUUCACCACAUGGAUGUCAAGUCUGCAUUUUUAAAUGGCGAUCUGUCCGAGGAGGUGUAUGUCACCCAGCCACCUGGGUAUGAGAAGAAAGGCGAUGAGGAUAAGGUGCUAAAGUUGAGCAAGGCUCUCUAUGGGCUGCGACAAGCACCGCGUGCCUGGAACUCAAAACUUGAUCAGACACUAGUCUCAACGGGGUUUGAAAAAUGCCCAUUAGAACAUGCUGUCUACAAGAAAUUCAGUGGGAACUCAACUCUGCUGGUUGGGGUGUAUGUGGAUGACCUCAUAAUUACAGGAGGCAGCAGCAAGGAGAUUGCUGAGAUCAAAGAGCAGAUGAAAAGGAAAUUCUGCAUGAGUGAUUUGGGCCUGCUAAGCUAUUAUCUUGGGAUUGAGGUAAAACAAACUCAAUCUGCUAUCACCAUUAGCCAAUCCUCUUAUGCAGCUCGGAUUCUGGAGAAGUGUGGUAUGGCAGAUUGUUAUUCAACCAAAGUUCCCAUGGAGCCAAGGCAGAAAUUGAGCAAGCAUAGUAAGAAUCCUCCUGUUGAUGCGACGAUGUAUCGUAGCAUUGUUGGUAGCUUGCGCUACCUAGUCCACUCUCGCCCUGACAUAGCAUACGCAGUUGGCAUUGUGAGUCGAUUCAUGGAGUCACCCACAACAGAGCAUAUGGCUGCCGUCAAACAGAUCUUGAGGUAUGUUAAAGGUACUCUGGAUUAUGGAGUUGUUUAUAAGUUCAGUGAAAUGGGACUGUAG